UAGGGAAUCUUCGGCAAUGGACGAAAGUCUGACCGAGCAACGCCGCGUGAGUGAAGAAGGUUUUCGGAUCGUAAAACUCUGUUGUUAGAGAAGAACAAGGACGUUAGUAACUGAACGUCCCCUGACGGUAUCUAACCAGAAAGCCACGGCUAACUACGUGCCAGCAGCCGCGGUAAUACGUAGGUGGCAAGCGUUGUCCGGAUUUAUUGGGCGUAAAGCGAGCGCAGGCGGUUUCUUAAGUCUGAUGUGAAAGCCCCCGGCUCAACCGGGGAGGGUAAUUGGAAACUAGGAGACUUGAGUGCAGAAGAGGGGAGUGGAAUUCCAUGUGUAGCGGUGAAAUGCGUAGAUAUAUGGAGGAACACCAGUGGCGAAGGCGGCUCUCUGGUCUGUAACUGAAGCUGAGGCUCGAAAGCGUGGGGAGCAAACAGG
RNAcentral lists this ribosomal RNA (429 nucleotides) under Gemmatimonadota bacterium. Its description in RNAcentral is "Gemmatimonadetes bacterium partial 16S ribosomal RNA". It matches the Rfam family "Bacterial small subunit ribosomal RNA", at positions 355 to 776 of the family's 1533-position model. Lineage: Bacteria; Pseudomonadati; Gemmatimonadota. The record is from RNAcentral.